Long non-coding RNA from Amaranthus tricolor (Joseph's coat), 1655 nucleotides. RefSeq lists it as uncharacterized. Lineage: Eukaryota; Viridiplantae; Streptophyta; Magnoliopsida; Caryophyllales; Amaranthaceae. The transcript has 3 exons. The record is from RefSeq and is a predicted model, not a curated record.
UAAUACCCAAAUCAGAAACUUUUUCCCAAUUCCCACUCAUUUCACGUAUUCCUUCACCGCCAUUCCCUUCCCCUUCUUCUUCCUUCUCAUUCCUUCCUUCUUCUUCUUCGAGCGACAGCAACACCGGCACCAUCUUCACCAUCUUCUUCCUCCUUCUUCUUGUAAUUGUUGGUGUAAACAAACUAAGGACCUCGAUUUAUAAGAGGGUGAAAUCGCCUGAGCAACGUGUGUGUUUGCAGCGUUAAGUAGGUUGAUUGCAGGUGGGGGCUGGAGUGAGGACUCAGCUUAGAACCCGUAACCAUCUAGUCUAAGAUAUACUUUGUAACAAGUUUAUGAGUCGAAAUAUCUCAGUUUAUGUAAAGAAAGUUUAUGACGUUUUUCUUUUUAUUUCGUACAACUUUUAGCUAGUCUAGAGGCCAGUAGGCUCUCGAGUUGUAUGUAAAGACUUCCGCUGACUUGUUUUAUUUUGUUUGACGUUGUUUUCUGCAUUGACCAUAUUCCUUUACCGUUGGAACGUUGACGAUCCGAGUAAAAAAAAAUUAUUUUUUUUUCUUGUGUCCGUUUGUGAACCGGAAUCAUGUUUUCAUAUGAUUUUCCGGGUCACUUAAACCGGGCCGUUACAUGAUUAGUAUUGGUUUUUGGAUUAUUUGAUUUCUAGUAUAAAGUUUGAUAUUUAUUGAAAUUUCAGUCUGGAAUUUGAACGUUCUGUUUUGGCCACUUUAAAAGUAGUUCUAAUUGUUUUUGGGUUCUGGUUCCUUCACAAGAAUUGUAGAGCUCCGAGUCGCGGUCGCGUGGACACUUAAAUCGCCCCAAAAUGAGUUUGUAUGAGGAAGUUAUACCCAAAAUACUAGCAGGGUGUCUUGUAAAUUCGAAAAUGAUAUUUUUGAUUUACUUGUUCAUAAUUAAAGUUGGAGAUCAAAUUGAGUACUCUUUUUAUCAUGUGUUAAACGCUAAAUUUUAUUGAAUCUUGAAUUUAUAUAAACUAAUUAGAUAAGUUAUGUUGAUUGGGAUUAUUAGUUGGAUAUGAGAUAGUGGAUAAUUAUUGUUAGGAAGUAGGAAUUUAUGGCUAAUGAUGAUGAUGAUGUCCUGAUUUUGGUUUGGUUAAUGAAUUUCUCAUGUAAAUGCUAGUUGUUCAAGGUGGUUUUGACGAUGAUGAUGACAAGUAAUUGAGUAAAGUGAUGCUCUUAGAUGAUAUAUUAGAUGUUUGUUGAUUUGAGAACUUGUUAUGGGUAUUAUGUUGAUUGAUAGAUUUAGGUGAAGUUGAGAUUAAUCAUUUUGAUUGUGGAUAAAUAAUGUUAAAUAUAGGUCGAGAAAUAUAUGAAUGUGGUGGAAUAUUGGAUAAUCGGGGUUCUUGAUUUAAUUAUAUGAUUCUUAAAAGUAUUGGUAAUGAUGAGUUAAAAUGUCUAUCUUUUUGUAGUAGUUGGAAUUACAAAGGAAACUAAGGAAGUUAUAGACGUUGUUAAUCUUGAAGAAAAAUUGACACUUAUAGGUCAUGGUUAUAAAAUCUUGGUGGAAAAUCGGGAGAUUAGAAUAGAACAUGUGAGAUUUAAAUGAUUCGAAAUAUUAGAAUAGCUAUUGGAUCUAUGCAUUGUUAGGAAGAGUAGUAAUGAAUUAAAUAAACCUAGCCGUAGUAUCGUAUGCGUUGUUGUGAUGCU